CAAGCUCGUGUCUAUAGGUAUG
This 22-nucleotide microRNA is filed under the name Danio rerio (zebrafish). RNAcentral describes it as "dre-miR-100-2-3p". Its record names the gene dre-miR-100-2-3p. The record is from miRBase by way of RNAcentral. Lineage: Eukaryota; Metazoa; Chordata; Actinopteri; Cypriniformes; Danionidae. RNAcentral also lists the same sequence under 2 other names.